CGAACGCUGGCGGCGUGCUUACCACAUGCACGUCGAACGGAAAGGCCUCUUUCGGGGGGUACUCGAGUGGCGAACGGGUGAGUAACACGUGAGUAACCUGCCCUUGACUUUGGGAUAACUUCAGGAAACUGGGGCUAAUACCGGAUAGGAGCUCCUGCUGCAUGGUGGGGGUUGGAAAGUUUCGGCGGUUGGGGAUGGACUCGCGGCUUAUCAGCUUGUUGGUGGGGUAGUGGCUUACCAAGGCUUUGACGGGUAGCCGGCCUGAGAGGGUGACCGGCCACAUUGGGACUGAGAUACGGCCCAGACUCCUACGGGAGGCAGCAGUGGGGAAUAUUGCACAAUGGGUGGAAGCCUGAUGCAGCAACGCCGUGUGCGGGAUGACGGCCUUCGGGUUGUAAACCGCUUUCGCUCAUGACGAAGCUUUGUGUGACGGUAGUGGGUAAAGAAGCACCGGCUAACUACGUG
RNAcentral lists this ribosomal RNA (465 nucleotides) under uncultured bacterium. RNAcentral's name for it is "partial 16S ribosomal RNA". It matches the Rfam family "Bacterial small subunit ribosomal RNA", at positions 30 to 507 of the family's 1533-position model. The record is from RNAcentral.